RNAcentral lists this ribosomal RNA (264 nucleotides) under uncultured Dialister sp. Its description in RNAcentral is "partial 16S ribosomal RNA". It matches the Rfam family "Bacterial small subunit ribosomal RNA", at positions 107 to 354 of the family's 1533-position model. Lineage: Bacteria; Bacillati; Bacillota; Negativicutes; Veillonellales; Veillonellaceae. The record is from RNAcentral.
GGAGUAACACGUAAACAACCUGCCUUCAAGAUGGGACAACAGACGGAAACGACUGCUAAUACCGAAUACGAUCCGAAAGUCGCAUGACAUUUGGAUGAAAGGGUGGCCUAUCGAAGAAGCUAUCGCUUGAAGAGGGGUUUGCGUCCGAUUAGGUAGUUGGUGAGGUAACGGCCCACCAAGCCGACGAUCGGUAGCCGGUCUGAGAGGAUGAACGGCCACACUGGAACUGAGACACGGUCCAGACUCCUACGGGAGGCAGCAGAC